AGGGCACCACCAGGAGUGGAGCCUGCGGCUUAAUUUGACUCAACACGGGGAAACUCACCCGGCCCGGACACCGUAAGGAUUGACAGAUUGGUAGCUUUUUCAUGAUUCGGUGGAUGGUGGUGCAUGGCCGUUCUUAGUUCGUGGAGCGAUUUGUCUGGUUUAUUCCGAUAACGAGCGAGACUCUAGCCUACUAAAUAGUUCGCACAUUGUCUCUGUGUGUGUGACUUCUUAGAGGGAUUUUCGGUGUUCAGCCGCACGAAAUUGAGCAAUAACAGGUCUGUGAUGCCCUUAGAUGUCCGGGGCUGCACGCGCGCUACACUGGCAAAAUCGGCGUGCUUGUCCUUCCCCGAAAGGGGUUGGUAAACCCUUGAAAAUUUGCCGUGAUUGGGAUUGGAAAUUGCAAUUAUUUUCCAUGAACGAGGAAUUCCAAGUAAGUGCGAGUCAUCAGCUCGCGUUGAUUACGUCCCUGCCCUUUGUACACACCGCCCGUCGCUGCCCGGGACUGAGCCAUUUCGAGAA
RNAcentral lists this ribosomal RNA (519 nucleotides) under uncultured eukaryote. RNAcentral describes it as "SSU rRNA". It matches the Rfam family "Eukaryotic small subunit ribosomal RNA", at positions 1161 to 1705 of the family's 1831-position model. The record is from RNAcentral.